RNAcentral lists this ribosomal RNA (450 nucleotides) under uncultured bacterium. Its description in RNAcentral is "partial 16S ribosomal RNA". It matches the Rfam family "Bacterial small subunit ribosomal RNA", at positions 354 to 796 of the family's 1533-position model. The record is from RNAcentral.
GUGGGGAAUAUUGGACAAUGGGCGAAAGCCUGAUCCAGCCAUGCCGCGUGUGUGAAGAAGGUCUUCGGAUUGUAAAGCACUUUAAGUUGGGAGGAAGGGCAGUAAGUUAAUACCUUGCUGUUUUUACGUUACCGACAGAAUAAGCACCGGCUAACUUCGUGCCAGCAGCCGCGGUAAUACGAAGGGUGCAAGCGUUAAUCGGAAUUACUGGGCGUAAAGCGCGCGUAGGUGGUUUUGUAAGUUGGAGGUGAAAUCCCCGGGCUCAACCUGGGAACUGCCUCCAAAACUGCAUGACUAGAGGACGGUAGAGGGUAGUGGAAUUUCCUGUGUAGCGGUGAAAUGCGUAGAUAUAGGAAGGAACACCAGUGGCGAAGGCGACUACCUGGACUGAUACUGACACUGAGGUGCGAAAGCGUGGGGAGCAAACAGGAUUAGAUACCCCUGUAGUCC